Molecule: ribosomal RNA, 496 nt
Filed under: uncultured bacterium
Lineage: Bacteria
Description: partial 16S ribosomal RNA
Rfam family: Bacterial small subunit ribosomal RNA
Source: RNAcentral
GAUGAACGCUGGCGGCGUGCCUAAUACAUGCAAGUCGAGCGAACGGACGAGAAGCUUGCUUCUCUGAUGUUAGCGGCGGACGGGUGAGUAACACGUGGAUAACCUACCUAUAAGACUGGGAUAACUUCGGGAAACCGUAGCUAAUACCGGAUAAUAUUUUGAACCGCAUGGUUCAAAAGUGAAAGACGGUCUUGCUGUCACUUAUAGAUGGAUCCGCGCUGCAUAGCUAGUUGGUAAGGUAACGGCUUACCAAGGCAACGAUGCAUAGCCGACCUGAGAGGGUGAUCGGCCACACUGGAACUGAGACACGGUCCAGACUCCUACGGGAGGCAGCAGUAGGGAAUCUCCCGCAAUGGGCGAAAGCCUGACGGAGCAACGCCGCGUGAGUGAUGAAGGUCUUCGGAUCGUAAAACUCUGUUAUUAGGGAAGAACAUAUGUGUAAGUAACUGUGCACAUCUUGACGGUACCUAAUCAGAAAGCCACGGCUAACUACGUG